Molecule: ribosomal RNA, 254 nt
Filed under: uncultured bacterium
Lineage: Bacteria
Description: partial 16S ribosomal RNA
Rfam family: Bacterial small subunit ribosomal RNA
Source: RNAcentral
UACAGAGGUCCCGAGCGUUGUUCGGAUUCACUGGGCGUAAAGGGUGCGUAGGUGGUGAGGUAAGUCGGAUGUGAAAUCUCCGAGCUCAACUCGGAAAUGGCAUUGGAAACUACCUUGCUUGAGGGUUGGAGGGGGGGACUGGAAUACUUGGUGUAGCAGUGAAAUGCGUAGAUAUCAAGUGGAACACCAGUGGCGAAGGCGAGUCCCUGGACAACUCCUGACACUGAGGCACGAAAGCUAGGGGAGCAAACAGG